GUGCCCGCCUCGGCAGCACAUACGCUAAAAGUGGAACAAUACAGAGAAGUUUCGCAUGGCCCCUGUGCGAGGAUGACAGGCAAAUUCAUUAUGCUCUCCACAAAAAC
This is a small nuclear RNA of Cercocebus atys (sooty mangabey), 107 nucleotides long. NCBI's taxonomy places the organism in Eukaryota, Metazoa, Chordata, Mammalia, Primates, Cercopithecidae. The record is from Ensembl.